Molecule: long non-coding RNA, 556 nt
Filed under: Aquilegia coerulea
Lineage: Eukaryota; Viridiplantae; Streptophyta; Magnoliopsida; Ranunculales; Ranunculaceae
Description: long non-coding RNA (ACOE_LNC000603)
Source: RNAcentral
AGAACCACUGUCAUCUGGUUGGGUUUGGUAGGAUUAGGGGUGAGUUCGGUUCGGAACCGGUCACAUUUAGGUGAAACCGGAAACCGAACCGUGGAACUCGGUUUCUACUUUUUAAGAACCGAAACCGAACCGAAAGAUUUAGGAACCGGUCAUAAACCGAACCAAUUUUUACUGUUCGGUUCGGUGCGGUUCUACGGUUUGGGCUUUUUAAGAUUUUGGGCCUACAACCUUAAUAUAUUGCGGGCUUUCGGACUAUACUUAAUAUUAAAUCCAAAAAAUCCAUUGGGCCAACAUAUAUUAACAUGUUAACUACUCUUUUCGGUUCGGUUUCUCGGUUUACCGGUUUUUUUGCUCACCCCUAGGUAGGAUGGUACACUGGAAUCAUCACUUUGGGAGGUUCCUAUGAUACCAAUUAUUCAUUACACAAAAACAAACCUUGGAUACAAACAAUAUACUGGUUUGCCAAAAGUGAGAGAGAACUUCACUUUGGCAUGGGGGUGCUUUUUUUUCGUUUCUUUCUGAUAUAUUGUUCUUGGAGGGCCAUCAAGUUCGUCGC